UCCAGAUUGUGAACUUGACCCUCAAGCUGGGAAGGCUGCCUGACAAUCAGAUAACAUUUGUUAUUCACAGGCUCCUCUUCUCUGUAGAUAACUCUAACACCUUCUCUCCCCUGGCCCCUAGCUCAUCACACCUCUUCCCACCUCUUCAUUCUCCCUUUGCUUCUUAUUGUGCAGAAACAAAUUACAAGCAAUGAGAAGUGAACUUUCACAGGUGCCUACCACCCUGUCUACCACCCACCCACCUGCCCUGGGGCCUCUGGCUUUCCCACGGUGACUGCCCUGCAAACGUCAGCCUUCUGUGUGACCUGCUCACACCCCUUCCGCCCACUCCAGGUCACACAGUCUCACAAUUGUCGCUGUCUCCUGCGCCUUAGAAUCCCCCUCUGCACUCGAUCAUUCUCAGCAGCCCACACGGUGUCAUCCCUCUCGUCUGGAAACAAACCCUCUCUUGACUUCACCCCCACCCCUUCCAGCUAUGGCUCCAUUUCUUUGCUUCUCUUUACGAUUUUAUUUUAAAGUAACCUCUACACCCAACAUGGGGCUCAAACUCACGACACCGAGAUCAAGAGUCCAACGUUCUACUGAUUGAGCCAGCCGGGCACCCCUACUUAGUACCUUCUUCAUCAUGAGGGCUUGUUUGGCAUACUAGAUAACCAGUGUCCACACCAGUGCCCCCCACACAAUACGUGUGCAAUGAAGAGAUGUUAAGUGAAUGAACCAACGAAUCAUCACAAACCUACUCCACAGAUGAGGAAACUGAGGCACAGGAAGGACUUGGCCACUCUCCACUGUCCACUCCCCUCUCCUUGACACGGGCAGACCUCUGUGACUGCUUCAACUUUCAGAGCGCCAUAGACGUGACAUUGCUAAGGGAUUUCCAAGGCUGGGUCAUAAAAGAAGAUACAGCAC
Long non-coding RNA from Mirounga angustirostris (Northern elephant seal), 909 nucleotides. RefSeq lists it as uncharacterized. The transcript is spliced from 3 exons. NCBI's taxonomy places the organism in Eukaryota, Metazoa, Chordata, Mammalia, Carnivora, Phocidae. The record is from RefSeq and is a predicted model, not a curated record.